This 107-nucleotide non-coding RNA is filed under the name Bacillus sp. (in: firmicutes). RNAcentral's name for it is "Bacillus sp. SAM-I sequence". It matches the Rfam family "SAM riboswitch aptamer (S box leader)". From Rfam's summary of the family: The SAM riboswitch is found upstream of a number of genes which code for proteins involved in methionine or cysteine biosynthesis in Gram-positive bacteria. Lineage: Bacteria; Bacillati; Bacillota; Bacilli; Caryophanales; Bacillaceae. RNAcentral also lists the same sequence under 1 other name. The record is from RNAcentral.
UUCUUAUCCAGAGAAGCUGAGGGACCUGGCCCGAUGACGCUUCAGCAACCUCUACUCCGUGAGAAAGGUGCUACUUCCAUCAAGAAUGAAUUCUUGAGAGAUAAGAA